Molecule: long non-coding RNA, 4482 nt
Organism: Symphalangus syndactylus (siamang)
Lineage: Eukaryota; Metazoa; Chordata; Mammalia; Primates; Hylobatidae
Source: RefSeq, a predicted model, not a curated record
GUAGAAGAAAAAUGAAUAACAUUUAAAUAAGAUAAAAUUUUAAAAUAAUAAAUUCUAAAAUUCAAAUAAAAAGGCAAAGCAAACACACUGGAAACUACCGCUAACAUUGUUCUCGGAGCAAAAGACACAAAAAGAGAAUUUAAAAAUAAGCAAAAAUUAGAGAGAACCAACCCUACAAGGAAGAAAUAACAAGUAUUGCUAAAUGAAGCAAUUCUAUGAUUAGGAUAUCCCUGUUAGAUCUAAACCGGUACAUGUUACACCUAAGUCUACAUUUCUUAAGACAAAACCAAAAACAAACAACAACAACAACAACAAACCAACAAAACUCAGUCACGGUUAAACCUGUAUACAACUAAAAAAUCUUAGUAGCUGAUACAUCCAGACUUGGUCCACAAGAGGAAAAAGUCGCAUUCGGCGGAAAUUGCUAUUGUCAAACCGAGCUUCCUAAACCAGAAAUCGCGUUUGCCGGCAUUUCCUGACUUCCAUGGGAGUUUAAAAAACACCAACAUAGCUAAGGCGGGACUUGAUAUUGCGAAGUUAGUCUUGGUGUAAGAGCUCCCACGCACUGCUAAACUGGUCAUCGCUAAACCUAAAUGAAUCUCAUUCGCUGGUACACAGAUUUCUACAGGAGUUAAACAUCUCCUGCGCAGCUAAAGCAAGGCUUACUGUAGGAAGCCGGAACUUGCCACGACUUAGAAACUUGAGGCUUUGGGAGGGCGAGGCGGGUGGAUCAUCUGAGGUCGGGAGUUUGAGACCAGCCUGGCCAACGUGGCAAAACCCCGUCUCUACUAAAAAUACAAAAAUUAGCCGGGUGUGAUGGCGGGCGCCUAUAAUCCCAGCUAUUUGGGAGGCCGAGGCAGGAGAAUCACUUGAACCCGGGGGGUGGAGGUUGCAGUGAGCCGAGAUCGCCGAGAUCGUGCCACGGCAUUCUAGCCUGGGCGAAAGAGCGAAACUCUGUCUCAAAAAAAAAAAAAAAAGAAAAAAGAAAAAAAAGAAAGAAAAAAAAGAAAAAAGAAACUUGAGGCAGGGCUAACUCCGGGUUUGUUAUGAUUAGAAAUCCGAGGCUACAGGAAACCCGGAGUUGCUGGGAAAUGAGUCACAGGGUCACUCAGCCUUUCUGUGGCGAAACGUCAACUUCCUACGACCUGGAAAUCGCCGCCAGGCCUAGACUGGUGUUUGUCCUAAGUGGGGACUUGCUUGGGUUGAGAAAUCACAUUUUGGCUAUUCCCCGGCUUGAACCAGGGGGUAGAAAUCGUAGUUACCGGCUGGCGCAGCGGCUCGUGCUGUAAUCCCGGCAGUUUGGGAGGCCGAGGCGGGCAGAUUAUUGAGGUUAGGAGUUCGAGACCAGCCUGGUCAAUAUGGUGAAACCCCGCCUCUAGUAAAAAUACAAAAAUUAUCCGCGCGUGGUGGCUCGCGCCUGUAAUCCCAGCUACUCUGGAGGCUGAGACGGGAGAAUCGCUUGAACCUGCGGGGCAGAGGUUGCAGUGAGCCAAGAUCGCGCCACUGCCAUCCAGCCUGGGCGACACAGCGAGACUCCGUCUCAAAACAAAACAAAAGGAAAAGAAGAGAAAAGAAAAGGAAACGCAGGCACCCUAAAAUCGAAACUUGUUAGGACCAACAAGCCAACGACAGAUGAAUCCGCGGGGUCCUGCGACAGACACGCCAGCGGCGCCGCCACAGCACAGGGUUCUGGAGGCCGAGCUGUUCUGCGGGUUCUGCGGCGGGGCUGGCGGCGCUGGGAAGAGACGGCGCCCGGGCAGCUCCCCUGCCACCGGCUCGGAGGAGGGGCGGGCUCCCCCAGCCCAGCGCCGCCGCGGCCGCCCGGGGAACGCCAGGCUCAGCGCAGCUGGGGAGGCUCCGAAUCCCUCAGAUCCGCGACCUGAGUGCUGUCGCCCCGAGAAAAUGGAGGCACCGGGCAGCGAGCUGCGCUGAGACCGAGAGACCUCAGUUCUGCGAAAUGUCGGUGCCCGGAGCUUGCGAAUGACUGCAGCCGGCGGGUUGUCAGGGACAACAUUCCUUAUGGCGCAACCAACGGCGCUGACGCGAAGAAACGGUGGACUCUGAGAAAAAAGAGGGGUUCGGCCACCGAGAAACUCCGUGCCACAUGUGCUGUGACAGCAAAACCGCCCGCUCCGCGCCGCUGGCGAAAGAGUCAACGAACGCCGGGUGCUGAGACCGUGACACCGGGACUAGAAGGCCUCGGACGGAUAAUGGGACGCCCAGAGCAAGCAGGAAAACGUUUUGUUUGGCUCAACUAGUGCUGUCGCAACCGGAAAACUGUCAGGCCAGUGCUGCCGCGGAGGUGCAUGUGAGAAACCGGUGAUCCGAGGGAGGAGUGGCGCUGGGCGCUGGACUCGCUGGUGUGCGAAUCUGGCUGCGCUAGGACCCGGCAAGCGCGGGCACCAGGCGAACGCCAGCGACUUUGCCAGACAAAUGCAUGUCUUUUUUGGUCGCCAUUCAAAGGUGCAGCCGGCAGUCAGACCCGGCUCUGAGAAACAAGUGGAGGUGUCAGCCAUAAACCCUCUGUUCAGGGAAAGGAGCGUCGCCGCGACGAAUCGUCUGGCCGUUGGGUGGAACUUUCUUUGGUGGCCUAGUGACCAGAAAAUAAAAACGAAAACGAAAUAAAAAACUGCUACUGGCGUUACUCCCACGCUCCCUUCUCAAGUCGGUGGCUUCAGGCUUAAGAAAACCUGUAUUUUUCUUGGCUGAACCGUGAUCCCUAAUUACUGAGGGCCCCGCGACCGACCCAGUGCGAUUCGCAGAGGGAAAGGAGCCGGAAUAAGGAUCCAGAAUGGGACGGAUUUGGCUCCUCCAGGAAGAAAGCAAAACAAAUGCAGGUCGCGAACACUUUACAAUGCAGGAAGCUGCUCUUCCAGUGGCCGCGGCUGGGUCCUUCCACACCACCUCUCUGUCCUAGGCCUUCGUCCCGGUUCAGCCCUCACGGAUUCUAGGCUAGAGGUCAACAACCGCAUCCCUUCGGAACCUGGAAACUCUAGGUCCAAGAUCUCGGUGAAGAAUGAAAGGCACAGUGCCGCUCAACCUAGGCUUCAGGCCUGCCCCGCUGGUCCCGUCCCUUCCCUGUGGGAUGGAACUCUGUGGGAAUCGCUCCUUAUUCUGAUGGUUCACUCAUUCAGAUAUCCUUGAUAUUUGGGGAUAGUUCUAAAACAGCUGGGGAGAAAAAUGGACUGCGAGACUCCGGCUUUGGACGUGAAAUUGACAGCGAGACAUCCGCCUCUAAGCCCAGGGAAAAGCUCAAAUUGUGGUUCUCUGUCUCUAGCACCGUGAUCUUUGAAAUGCAUUAUUGAUUUUUUUCUUUCUUCUGGGAAAUGCAAUGCAGGUGAACUUGUAAGUGUCGAAUCCUCCCUCUCCUCACUUUUCAAUCAGACUGAGGCCUACUUCCUUUCUGAGAAGAAAUAUGGGACUGCCACUGCUCAGUAGGAAAAUGUCCUUUCCUACAAGCAUUCAUAUUUCAAUAAAAAUCUGCACUUUGUGAGUUGAGCCCCCUCAAACAGACCUACAGACCCUGCCACGAGCAUCUCCAUCCACACUCAUCAUUUCCCAUUUUCACCACUUCUGCUCCUGUGCAAACCACUACUAUCCUUUUCUGGGGGAUCCUAGGCAGAAGGGGAUGGCAGGACAAAGGCAGAGAAGGCACUGCCAGGUCCUGCAUGCCAGUAAAACUACUCAUGCCAGCUGUUCCGCAGGAUCCCAUGAGAAGCUACAACAUGGCGAUCAGCAAGACAGGAAGACAGCCCUCACCAGGAGCUGAAUCACUGGCGCAUUGAUCUUGCACUUCCAGAUCCUGGGCAAGACUCACCAGGGGAGACUUCUGUAGCUGUCCGGAAUUGUCUGAUCUGGAAUUAAUUCCCUGGAACGCUGUGGUUGUUAACUCGGAAGGCACAAGGCUAAGAAUCUUCCUCUGGUCCUCUUUAAUCUGCCCCCACUCCUUGUUAUUUGUCUUAUUUUGAUUUUCAAGUAAGGGAUUUAUUUUUCCAGUUAACAUAACCAACCAGCCCAUGCCACAGCAUAUUAAAUCACGAAGUACAAAUCCAAGGAAGGUAAUGUCUUUAUUGGGUUGCAAAACUUUGGGAAACCAAUAUAGUACUUUUUAUUACAAUAAAAGCAUACUUUUAUUAGAGACAUAUAUUAUUUUAGUGAUAAUUUUCGCUCCAAAUAUACUUAAGUACUAAACCAAAACACUGGUUUUUAAUAAUGGUUUAUAGCAGAGCAAGUUAUUUUAUACGAAUUAAGGUCUUUGAAAACUACAUAGUUUCUCCUUUUAAAUUGAAUUCCCUCAUGCAAGCUGUUGAAGUUUACAGCAACACGGCAAUUGUGUGUAUAUAAGAGAUGGCUCUGCUUUGUUCUGGCAUGGGACCAAAGCCAGGUAGGGGUGCAAUGUGUGAAAACUUUUAAAAUUCUAUCUUGAUUCAACAUCAAUGUCACCUUCCAAGCACUUUAAAAAAUGUUAAAAUUUUGUUUAUA